RNAcentral lists this ribosomal RNA (109 nucleotides) under Echinostoma caproni. The record is from RNAcentral. Lineage: Eukaryota; Metazoa; Platyhelminthes; Trematoda; Plagiorchiida; Echinostomatidae.
GGCCGCGACCAUACCACGCUGGAAACACCGGUUCUCGUCUGAUCACCAACGCCGGGCCCGGUCAGUACCUGCAUAGGUGACCGGCUGGGAAUACCGUAUGUUGCAGCCG